GACGAACGCUGGCGGCGUGCUUAACACAUGCAAGUCGAACGGAAAGGCCCUGCUUUUGUGGGGUGCUCGAGUGGCGAACGGGUGAGUAACACGUGAGUAACCUGCCCUUGACUUUGGGAUAACUUCAGGAAACUGGGGCUAAUACCGGAUAGGAGCUCCUGCUGCAUGGUGGGGGUUGGAAAGUUUCGGCGGUUAGGGAUGGACUCGCGGCUUAUCAGCCUGUUGGUGGGGUAGUGGCUUACCAAGGCUUUGACGGGUAGCCGGCCUGAGAGGGUGACCGGCCACAUUGGGACUGAGAUACGGCCCAGACUCCUACGGGAGGCAGCAGUGGGGAAUAUUGCACAAUGGGCGGAAGCCUGAUGCAGCAACGCCGCGUGCGGGAUGACGGCCUUCGGGUUGUAAACCGCUUUCGCCUGUGACGAAGCGUGAGUGACGGUAAUGGGUAAAGAAGCACCGGCUAACUACGUG
RNAcentral lists this ribosomal RNA (468 nucleotides) under uncultured bacterium. RNAcentral describes it as "partial 16S ribosomal RNA". It matches the Rfam family "Bacterial small subunit ribosomal RNA", at positions 28 to 507 of the family's 1533-position model. The record is from RNAcentral.